ACACAUGCAAGUCGAACGAAGCACUUAUCUUUGAUUCUUCGGAUGAAGAGGUUUGUGACUGAGUGGCGGACGGGUGAGUAACGCGUGGGUAACCUGCCUCAUACAGGGGGAUAACAGUUAGAAAUGACUGCUAAUACCGCAUAAGACCACGGAGCCGCAUGGCUCCGUGGGAAAAACUCCGGUGGUAUGAGAUGGACCCGCGUCUGAUUAGGUAGUUGGUGGGGUAACGGCCUACCAAGCCAACGAUCAGUAGCCGACCUGAGAGGGUGACCGGCCACAUUGGGACUGAGACACGGCCCAAACUCCUACGGGAGGCAGCAGUGGGGAAUAUUGCACAAUGGGGGAAACCCUGAUGCAGCGACGCCGCGUGAGCGAAGAAGUAUUUCGGUAUGUAAAGCUCUAUCAGCAGGGAAGAAAAUGACGGUACCUGACUAAGAAGCACCGGCUAAAUACGUGCCAGCAGCCGCGGUAAUACGUAUGGUGCAAGCGUUAUCCGGAUUUACUGGGUGUAAAGGGAGCGUAGACGGCUGUGUAAGUCUGAAGUGAAAGCCCGGGGCUCAACCCCGGGACUGCUUUGGAAACUAUGCAGCUAGAGUGUCGGAGAGGUAAGUGGAAUUCCCAGUGUAGCGGUGAAAUGCGUAGAUAUUGGGAGGAACACCAGUGGCGAAGGCGGCUUACUGGACGAUGACUGACGUUGAGGCUCGAAAGCGCGGGGAGCAAACAGGAUUAGAUACCCUGGUAGUCCACGCCGUAAACGAUGACUACUAGGUGUCGGGGAGCAAAGCUCUUCGGUGCCGCAGCAAACGCAAUAAGUAGUCCACCUGGGGAGUACGUUCGCAAGAA
Molecule: ribosomal RNA, 843 nt
Filed under: uncultured bacterium
Lineage: Bacteria
Description: bacterial SSU rRNA
Rfam family: Bacterial small subunit ribosomal RNA
Source: RNAcentral